UACGAAGGGUGCAAACGUUGCUCGGAAUUAUUGGGCGUAAAGCGCACGUAGGCGGCUUGGCAAGUCGGAUGUGAAAUCCCUCGGCUCAACCAAGGAAGUGCAUCCGAAACUGCUGAGCUUGAGUACUUAAGAGGAUCGCGGAAUUCCCGGUGUAGAGGUGAAAUUCGUAGAUAUCGGGAGGAACACCGGUGGCGAAGGCGGCGACCUGGGUAGAUACUGACGCUGAGGUGCGAAAGCGUGGGGAGCAAACAGG
RNAcentral lists this ribosomal RNA (253 nucleotides) under uncultured bacterium. RNAcentral's name for it is "partial 16S ribosomal RNA". It matches the Rfam family "Bacterial small subunit ribosomal RNA", at positions 524 to 776 of the family's 1533-position model. The record is from RNAcentral.